Molecule: ribosomal RNA, 447 nt
Filed under: Niphargus stygius
Lineage: Eukaryota; Metazoa; Arthropoda; Malacostraca; Amphipoda; Niphargidae
Description: partial large subunit ribosomal RNA
Source: RNAcentral
UGAGUCGAUCCUAAGCCAACUGUGAAAGCAGUGACAUCCCGACAAAGGGGCAUUACGUGCGCUGCACUUACACCCCCACGGCAAAGCUCUGAGAUAUAUAUAAAUCUCUCUCUCUCUGACGAUAAAGGUGUCUGGUACGGAAUAUGCGCACGCACGGUGAUCACUACAAAUACGUGUGUGAGUGUGUGCGCUUGUAUGGUUACGCUCAUAAGCGUUGUUGCUCUCUGGUAAAAGGAUAAAGCAUAAGAGAGAGAGAGAGAGACACACACAGAGUGUGGGUGAGCGUGAGUUUUCUCUCGCAUGAGCCCCCUGCGUCUGGUUCUAUGUCUGGCGAAAGGGAAUGGGGACUUUGUUCCUUGACCGGUCCCGGCACCCUCGAUUGGCUUUGCCAAUUAAUGGUCCAUGCAAAUGGAACCAGGCCACAGCCGCUGGCAGUCGCCCGAGGAA